UCCCUGAGUGCCUUCAGUUCGGGAAGGUCAUCGUCAUCACAUGUCUGUCCAAGUACUGCCCUGUGGCCAUGGCCCCCUCUCACCACGGUGCGUCCCCCAAAACCUUUUGUCCAGGACGUCUGUCGGUUUCACUUUCUUGUUUUCAGCUCUUCUAUUUUAAAAUGUCUUUCUAUCUCUGUCGUGGUUUUUCUGUCUGUGGGGGAAGACGUGCCCACUUUUCCAUCUGGAAACCAGAAAUCCCUUUUCAAAAAUAUUUAAAGUUUAAGCAACAGUGUUUUGUCUUUAUGCGCUGUGUUGGUUUUUAUAGCUACCUCCUCCAGGGCCACGGUGGAGCCCUGUGGCUGACGGUGUGGACUCUGGAGUCAGAUCUCCCGGACUGAGCCUGGCUUUCACCCUUACUGAAGCGAGUGUUUCCAUUGCUGCGUGCCUCAGUGUCCCCACCUGUAAAGCGGGAGAAAUAAUGGCUCACGCUGCAUCGGGGGCCACCCCGCAGGAGCUGCACUUCAUGGACACGAGCUCUUGUCCACGGCAAGAGAUGCUCAUGUUCCCGGUCCCUUAGGAACAUGUUUAAAUUGGGUGGCAGUACCCCCUGAAACCAGCUCUGCCCACUUGGGGGUCUCUCUCGUCCUUCUGGCCCAGAUGGCGAUCAAACAGGCACCGAGCCCGUCGGUCGUGUUGUAGAUGACGUCCUCGAAAUGGCGGCCUCGUUGUGCAGACAAGGACAGUCCUCCUCCGCCACGCAGCCUCCGCUCCCGUCCGACACCAGCCCCGGGGGGCAGACGCAGCCGGACACGCAGUGAGUGCUGAACUGUGGACCGGCACAGGUCAGUGCCGGUCACCCGCUGUGCCCGGGGACGCCCUCGGGCAGCGCCCUCGCCUUGCCCUCCCGGCCACUCACACAGUCCACGUCGAGCGUGUGGCAGCUCCUGAGACACUCGGCCCCGGGCGCGCCAGCGGAGACGUUGCGGCAGUCCAGGUACACCAUGGGGGCCGCGCACCCUGCGGAGGAGGCGGGCCUGGGCUGGGAGGGGCCCCUCCCCCCACCCGGGGCCCGCGGAAGCCCCUCCCUCGGGGCGCUGCCCAGAGGCCGUACCUGAGCUCCUGUGCUCCGCUGCUCCCAGGCAACUCAGCUUCCCACCCACGCACGAGCUGUGAGAGACAGACGACCCACUCUGGACCCCCUGCCCACCCACCACCCCACAGACCUCACCCAGAUCUCUGCCCGGCUGGGGGCACCCCUCCCCCAGCGCGGAGAGAAAACCGUCCUGUGCAAUGCACACGCCCUCCCUGGGCCCUGGACCCUCAGAACCCUCUGGAGGCCAAGGGAGGGCUACCUCUUCACAGCAGGACUAAGGGGUGUGGGGGGAGGGGCAAACUUCCCUCCCCAGGGAGCACCUUUGUGUUUCAAAAUCCUCUGGGAGACACCCAGACAUCUUUGCGUGUGAAACAGGGUGAGGAGACCCUCGCUCUCCUGGGAUGGGGCACAGUGAUGUGGGGGGGGGGCAUGGGCCCAGCUGGCCCCUUACCACACCACGCUGUCGUCAUGCACCACCUCCCCCGGGGCCACUGCAGAGCCACGGAAGUAGCAGGGACAGGCCUCAGCGGACACGCAGGCACCCGAGUCAUCCAGGAAGGUGCCCGAGGGGCAGAUGCAGCCGUCCACAGGCACGAAGGUGACGCCGCAGGUGACGUCGACCUGGCUCAGAGCGCGGCAGGUGGGCUGGCAGCCGGCCACCACAUAGCUGUAGUUCUGGGACUUGGGGCAGCUGCUCACAUACUUGGCUGAGGGCAGGGGCAGCGCUCAAGUCAGUGGCUGGAUGGCCCCCUCCAAACCGGUGUUUAAGCAACCCAAGACUCAGUUUCCCCUCUGACACCCAGGGAUCGUGGGACCACAAGGUCCUUGGUUGGCCCGACCGAGGAAGCCAGAAGCUCUGGCUGAGAACAUGUGGGUGGGGGGUGGCUGCCCCCAGGAUCCCCAGCCCCCCUGCCCCCACCUGGUGCAGCCAGAGUGGCUCAGGGACACUCACUGCACACGCCGUCCCUCCAGCCUCUGAGCAGCACCCCCUUGGCGGCACAGGAGUGCACGUAGGAGGACAGGGCCGCACACAGACAGUCCUCGCUCUUCUGACAGUUGCACGUGUCGAACAUGCAGUGCUGGGGAUGGGGCCAUUGGGGACCGUCAGGAACCCCAACCCACCAAGGCCCCUCCUCUUCCCGUGGAUUCUUCCUGGGACCCCUGCCUGGACUGGGAGGUCCACCCCAAGGAGGCCCCUUGGCACAGAUGGGUGGAAAGCGGCCCCCAGGAGGGGCACACCGCACACUAAGCGACUGCAGAGGCCCGGUCAGGGGGCAGCAAGAAGGCGUGAGACCAGGCUAUGGUCAGGGUCAGGAGGGAGCGCCACAGGACAGGGCCAGGGUCGGCCGCAUCCCACGUACGUCACGGGUUGUGCUGUGUGUGGGGGACACAGGUGGGGUGAAGAGGGUGCCAUCUGCCCAGGCAGAGGUGGGCCUGGGCUUUCCACCUGGAGAUGCUCCUGAUGGUGCAUUUUAGGGCUUUGAGCUUCUGGGAAAGUGGCCCAUGAGCCAAGUGUUGUGAAGGAUGCGUGGAAACCCUAACCCACGGGGCCUGAGAAAAUGAGCUUAUUGCAAACAGGGUCUUUGCAGACGUUAUUAAGACGAGGUCAUGGGGAUGGUCCCCGAUCCAGCAUGACUGGUGUCCUUAAAGAGGAAAUUUGGACACAGACACAGGGGAGGGGCCGAGGCCAUGUGACCAGGGAGGCAGAGGUUGGGGUGACAUGGCCACAAGCCCAGGGACACCUGGAGCCCCGAGAAGCUGGGAGAGGCAGGAAGGACCUUCUCUGUAGCCUUAGGAGGGAGCAUGGGCCUGCCCACAGCUUGAUUUGGGGCUUCUGGCUUCUAGGACCGGAACAGAAUCAAUAUUUCUAGUUUUUGGUGAGCUGGUCCGUGGCCACAAACACCCCGACAGUGAUGGUGCUAAAAGCCCCGGGCAGCCCCGGGUAGGACUGACCGACCAGCCCACCGUGCUGUGAGUGGUCCUCGAGAUAGGAGACCACCAAGGGGAGGCUAAGGGGUAGGGGGCGGCUCCAGGUGGGGCAGGGGUCUCACCGAGUGGAAGGGUGCAGGGUUGAGGACAGAGUGACAGGGCGAGAAGGCUCCGGCAGGGUCGGUCAGCAGGGAGCACCAGUGCUGGGCGUAGUUCUCUGGGACAAGGGUGCGGGGGGAGGCUGGCUGGCCGGCACCCACACACCUCCUCCCCCUCACCCGCCCCCUCUGGCUGCCUGCGCUCCUGCACACAGGCCCUGGGGGGCCCCACGGCCCCCAGAGAGCUGAGCUGGGAUUUGGGGCUUGCCCACCGUGCUGAGGGGGCAGGAAGGUGCUCCUCCUCGAGACAGGCUCUGAGCACUCUGGACUGCCCGAUUUCACCCCAGGCCAUGCACACCCGGACACCAGGGGUCCCCCAGGGCCUGGUGAGAUGGGAGGUCUCGGCUCCCAGCCCAGCCCUCGUAAACGGAGGGCCCCCGGGGGGUGGGAGUACCGUUCUCCACGCUGAGGGAGCAGGGGUCCUCGAAGCUGUUCUUGACAUUGGGGCAGGCGGCCUGGGUCUUCCAGGUAUUGGCGAAGGCGGCGGCCGUGCCCUCCACCACGCCGCUGAGGGUCCGGAAGUCAUCGGCCUGGUUCUGGUUGAAGUUCCCGCACAGGCCUGGGGGCAGGGGCCCAGGGAUGGGGCAUUAGCAGGGCGUCCAGCCUGGCCAUCCGGGGGGGCUUGCUCCCUGGCUCCUGCUCUCCUCUAGAAACCACCACACGGCGGACCAGCCCCGAACCCCCAUCCCAGGAGUGGUUCCAGAGCCAUCCGUAGAUUCUUCCCGUCCUGCCCGCGGCCUGGAGCUGAGUCCGGGCACCAGCCCCCUCCCGGCCCGUCGGCGGAGCCUCACCGCACAUCUGUCCGUGAUAGGAGGGGUCCAGCCUGAGGAACACCUGCAUGAGGGGCACCAGCUGAACCUGCAGCUGCAGCCCGAGGCCCGUGUGCACCAGGACAAAGAAGGACGUAGGCCUGAAGAUGGUGAUGUUGGCUGCCGGGGGAUGGGGACGGAGUCAGAGUCUGCGUGGGGGCCAGGCCUGGCCAGACGGAGCCCCCUUGCUCCUGGGACAGCCAGGAAGCAGGGAGGGUCCCCUAGGGAUGGACUGGGAGGAUCCAGGCAUCUGGUGGGCCCGCGCCACCGCUCCGGGACCCAGGGGUGGGCGGAGCUCCUCUGCAGGUGGUAUUGGCGGUGACCACUCGUGAUCCCCGAGAGGCUGCGCCCCAAGGGUGUUCGGCCCCGGUCCCCACGGUAGCCGAGGGGGGAGCAUUGACAUCCCACGUGCAGAUGAGAAACCAACCAUGGGAUAUUCCGGAACUGCCCCGGGCCACAGAGAACCAGCCUUGGGAGCAGACCACCUGGCUGCAGUGCGGCCCGGCUGUCCCCGACCGCGUACCUGCUGACACGGGCAGCCGCGUGUGCACGGAGUUCAUGAAUACCCCGCCGCUGGCCUGGAUCUGGAUGAUCUGCACCCCUGCCCCUGCCCCCCAGGCGGCUGGGCCUGGGCUCCAUAUCCUGACUUGAGGCUCUGAGGGAGAUUCUGUCGGUUUGGGCCUCCUGGAGCUUCCAGGCCACUUCUACCCGUGGAGGCCUCCCCGCUCCCACAUGGGGCUUCUUCAGCUGGGCUCCUAAGUGCCCACCACGGACCGCCUAUGUGUGGACACGUAUUCGCAUACACGGAUGGGCACACGUGUAGCCCACGGCCCGCACACGUAGAACAUUCGUUCAGUAGGUGGAAGCUCAGACGGUGUCUCCGAGGUGGAAGCCGUGUCCCCUGCCCCCCCAGGGCUUGGAGACCCUCCGCCCGGAUGCCUCAGGGCCCAGCCCAGGAAGCCUGAGAUGACCAUCUUGGGAGAGCAGGGGCUGGGGGCAGGCCGGGCCCCAGAGAGGCGCUCACCCUAUCCGUGCAGUUGUUGGCGGGGGAAGGUAGGGGGUCCUGGCAUUGCUCUGUGGGCCCAUCCAGCUUCUGGAGAUUUCCAAACUGGAGAGGGGUCAGCCUGGCGUCUGUGGAGAGAUGCUGGGGUCAGGGUGCUGAGGGACCGUGGGGCCAGUGCAGGGGAUGGCUGCCUGGGGACCCCUGCCCGUGCCCAGGGCACCUGAAACCUCUCUGGGGCAUCGCUGUCUUGAGUAUUGCCCCCACCCCGAUUUGCUCUCCACCCAGAGCCUGGGUAAGGCCACCCCAAGGCUGCCCCCUCCAGGCCUCCUCAGGACAAGCCAGCCCUCAGCUUCCUGCUGCCCCAGGGGGCACUCACUAUGGGCAUAGAACUCGUUGACGGCCCGGAGUCCGUUGAAGUCCCCACACAGACCACACGUCUGGUUGGCGUACUUGGGGUCCAGCUCCAGCUGGGGGCAGAAGAGAGGCAGCUCCAGCCUCUGGGAGGCUGUCCCCAGUUGGGGGGGGGGCGGACAGGUGGGGGCGUCCUCACCAGGGCGGCUUCCUCUCUGUUCCACAGGAAGGUUAGCACCAGCCGGACGUCAACCUUGAUGUAGACACUGCUCUCCUCUACCAGGACGCCGGCGCGGCUGUAGGGCAGCUCCUCCCUGGGGUGGAAAUUUCUGGUCCUCCCAGGGCCAGGGUGCGCAGCAGGGUGUGGCGCCCCCCAGCAGCCCUGAGCCCAGAACCCGCCCCAGAGGCCCGGCCCUUCCCCAGCCCAGACCAGGCUCACCGCUGCCCGUUGAUGAGGAUCGAGCCGUUGGAGGCCUCCAGCACCAGCCCCUGGGUCUUGAGGAUGAUGUGGGUGAUGGUAGGCCUGGAGCCGGCCAGGCCGCGGCGGACCUGGACGUUGAAGUCCUCGUAGGCGGCCCCGCAGUGCAUGGAGAGGACGUAGUUGCACAGGCCCGGGAAGCGGAAGACGUCCCCGUCGAAGGUCUUAUAGUGGAAGUCGCCCCAGGGGGAGGAAGCUGCACACGGACCCGGAUUUGGGGGUGCCGUCCGACAUAACCAGCCUGCACCCCUCGAAAAGGCCAUGGUCAAGGAACACAGAGAAAGGCUGAGGACCUGUGGUCCUGGAUCGAAUCCUGGAGAAUGUGCGGCCAUGACGACCAUGACCGGCUCAAGACCACAGAGGGCCCUGGUUUAGAGGGCGCGGCGUGCCCCUGCUGGUUCUGCUGAGGGCGACCCCUGGCCGUCUCUAGGAGACACCCACCCGCCUAUGGAGGGGCGGAGGCCAUGCUUCUCAAACCCAUGUGGCUUAGAAAACACACGUGGAUACAGACGGUGGGCAAGUGCACGCACACACGAGAGGAACCAGCAAAGCCGAGAGACUGAGGUGCAGACAUCCGUGAAUCUGGGUAAAGGCAGACAGGAGCUCUUUCUGCUAUCUGUACAGCUUACCCAUAAACUUGAAACCACAUCAAAAUAAAGUGUUCUCCAGAAA
This is an RNA transcript of Felis catus (domestic cat), 6475 nucleotides long. It is a transcript of the gene named collagen alpha-1(I) chain-like, with no coding region annotated. The record is from RefSeq and is a predicted model, not a curated record. NCBI's taxonomy places the organism in Eukaryota, Metazoa, Chordata, Mammalia, Carnivora, Felidae. The transcript is spliced from 7 exons.